Molecule: ribosomal RNA, 434 nt
Filed under: uncultured bacterium
Lineage: Bacteria
Description: bacterial SSU rRNA
Rfam family: Bacterial small subunit ribosomal RNA
Source: RNAcentral
GUCGAGGAUCUUCGGCAAUGGGCGCAAGCCUGACCGAGCGACGCCGCGUGUGCGAUGAAGGCCUUCGGGUUGUAAAGCACUGUCGAGGGGGAGGAAAGCCGCAAGGCCUGACCUAUCCCUGGAGGAAGCACGGGCUAAGUUCGUGCCAGCAGCCGCGGUAAGACGAACCGUGCAAACGUUAUUCGGAAUCACUGGGCUUAAAGGGCGCGUAGGCGGGUGGCCAAGUCAGGGGUGAAAUCUUUCCGCUCAACGGGAAAACAGCUUUUGAUACUGGCCGUCUAGAGGGGGGUAGGGGCAUGUGGAACUUCCGGUGGAGCGGUGAAAUGCGUAGAUAUCGGAAGGAACGCCGGUGGCGAAAGCGACGUGCUGGACCCUUUCUGACGCUGAGGCGCGAAAGCCAGGGGAGCAAACGGGAUUAGAAACCCCAGUAGUCC